CAAUGGGGAAUUUUCCGCAAUGGGGAAUCUUCCGCAAUUUGGGCAAUGGGGAAUUUUCCGCAAUGGGCGAAAGCCUGACGGAGCAAUACCGCGUGAGGGAGGAAGGCUCUUGGGUCGUAAACCUCUUUUCUCAGGGAAGAACACAAUGACGGUACCUGAGGAAUAAGCAUCGGCUAACUCCGUGCCAGCAGCCGCGGUAAUACGGAGGAUGCAAGCGUUAUCCGGAAUGAUUGGGCGUAAAGGGUCCGCAGGUGGUACUGUAAGUCUGCUGUUAAAGAGCAAGGCUCAACCUUGUAAAAGCAGUGGAAACUACAGAACUAGAGUGCGUUCGGGGCAGAAGGAAUUCCUGGUGUAGCGGUGAAAUGGGUAGAUAUCAGGAAGAACACCAGUGGCGAAAGCGUUCUGCUAGGCCGCAACUGAC
RNAcentral lists this ribosomal RNA (421 nucleotides) under cyanobiont of Azolla pinnata pinnata 7528. RNAcentral's name for it is "bacterial SSU rRNA". It matches the Rfam family "Bacterial small subunit ribosomal RNA", at positions 284 to 744 of the family's 1533-position model. The record is from RNAcentral. Lineage: Bacteria; Bacillati; Cyanobacteriota.